Molecule: ribosomal RNA, 254 nt
Filed under: uncultured bacterium
Lineage: Bacteria
Description: partial 16S ribosomal RNA
Rfam family: Bacterial small subunit ribosomal RNA
Source: RNAcentral
UACGUAGGGUGCAAGCGUUGUCCGGAAUUAUUGGGCGUAAAGAGCUCGUAGGCGGUUUGUCGCGUCUGCUGUGAAAACUCGGGGCUUAACCCCGGGCCUGCAGUGGGUACGGGCAGACUAGAGUGCGGUAGGGGAGAUUGGAAUUCCUGGUGUAGCGGUGGAAUGCGCAGAUAUCAGGAGGAACACCGAUGGCGAAGGCGGCCCACGUGGGCAGUCACUGACGCUGAGGCGCGAAAGCUCGGGGAGCGAACGGG